RNAcentral lists this ribosomal RNA (286 nucleotides) under Escherichia coli. RNAcentral's name for it is "partial 16S ribosomal RNA". It matches the Rfam family "Bacterial small subunit ribosomal RNA", at positions 1237 to 1522 of the family's 1533-position model. The record is from RNAcentral. RNAcentral also lists the same sequence under 3 other names. Lineage: Bacteria; Pseudomonadati; Pseudomonadota; Gammaproteobacteria; Enterobacterales; Enterobacteriaceae.
AUACAAAGAGAAGCGACCUCGCGAGAGCAAGCGGACCUCAUAAAGUGCGUCGUAGUCCGGAUUGGAGUCUGCAACUCGACUCCAUGAAGUCGGAAUCGCUAGUAAUCGUGGAUCAGAAUGCCACGGUGAAUACGUUCCCGGGCCUUGUACACACCGCCCGUCACACCAUGGGAGUGGGUUGCAAAAGAAGUAGGUAGCUUAACCUUCGGGAGGGCGCUUACCACUUUGUGAUUCAUGACUGGGGUGAAGUCGUAACAAGGUAACCGUAGGGGAACCUGCGGUUGGA